AGAGAGAGACACACACACACACACAGAGAGAGAGAGAGAGAGACAGAGAGAGACACACACACACAGACAGACAGACAGACAGACACACAGACACACACUCUCCGUAAUGUUUAAUGUGCUCUUGUAAUGAAGCACAGUACAUUAAUCCGGAUCACCAUCACACUAAUGUCCAUCCUUUUGUCCUUCUGCUUAUUGCUUGAAUAUCCGCUGAGCCUAUCAGACAGUGAAUAUCUAUGACUGGAACCAACACACAGGUGGUGUGUGUGGGUGUGUGUGUGUGUGUGUGUGUGCGUGCACUAUUAUAUAUAUGCGUAUAAGGUACUGUCUUCUAUGGUACACAGAGUGCUGAUGGGACUCCGACAUUAAAACAGUAAUGAAUGGUACUCUGAAUGGAAGACCUUUAGAAACAAAUGUUAAUUUAUUUUCUUAAUUUCUAACUUUACCACAGGACACUGGGAUUGUAACCACAGCGACAUUGUUAUUUAUUCUCUAAUCAUGCGUCUGCAUAUUUUCUUUUCUUUGUACACAUUUCAUGACUUUUAUUUUUAUAAAAUAAUAUGUUUUAUUUCAUCUGUGAUUUGUUGUUUUGGUCGUAAAUCUCAUGGUAGAUGUUGAUGAUUUCAGUAGGUGAUUUUACUUUUCAGGCUAAAGCAACAGGAGAAUCUGUCACACUAUUAUUUUUUCCAUACUGUGAAUUAUCAAUAUUAUUUUUGUGGGAGAGAAACAGUUGUAUUAGCACAACCUCAAAACUUGUUUUGCUUUGAGUCAGAUUUUUUAAAAAGUGAUUGAGCAAUGAUUUUUGCUUGCCAGAUAAAUCCUAUGGUAUAGAUUUGUAAUGAAGAUUGUCAGUAUUUUCAUAUCGAUGCUAUAUAUGAUGUACAUUUUUAUCACAUUUAAUGAAAAAUGUUUUAAGAUUCAACUGGAGAUGUAUGAAUAAAUAGAUGUACACCUGUAAUUGCUGAUUGGAGGAGCUGGAUAAAAUAAACUAAUAUGUAGCAGUCCU
Molecule: long non-coding RNA, 1003 nt
Organism: Sebastes umbrosus (honeycomb rockfish)
Lineage: Eukaryota; Metazoa; Chordata; Actinopteri; Perciformes; Sebastidae
Exons: 2
Source: RefSeq, a predicted model, not a curated record